CUGAACAGUAUGGUCAAGGAUCCUGAUGAUGGAUUGUCAGCCACCCACUUGGCUGUCAUGCAGGUGCUGUUUGAUAUCCGCACGGCUGGUCAGGGACUGUUUGUGAAAGUUGUCUUUGGAAAAAGACCCUCAUUUGUCCGAUUCUAGCAGGGAACCUAUGACAGACGAAAUAGUGCAUCUGAGUUCCAUCAAAGGUAAAAAUUUUUGCUUUCGUUUGAACUCAUAGUUAUCCUUCGCUGCCUUCUUCACUUGAGUGACUCACGCAAGUUUUUUAUUGUUUAAUUGAACAACAAUACCAGAGAGCCACGCGUCACAUCACUGCUCAACCUUGCAGCGCAAAGAGCAGGCAAGGGGUCUGUUUGGCCACACGCUCUGCCAAGACUGCAGUGCUGUAGUCUGCAGAUAGAUCCACUAUAACCUACAAUAAGGCCCACCAGAAAACACACAAGGAUGUUAGCAAGUUAGCAUGUUUCAUGAUGACUGGAAACGUAGAGGAUACCCUCUGCACCUCUCCCCUGUGAGACUGAGGUCUCAGCAGUUCAGCUGAAUCCUAGAGAUCUCAGGUGGCAAAACCCCCACAAACAUUACAGAGAUCACGGAGAAGGCACCACUUGCGGCAGCUGAAGAAACCCAAAACAAAUGUCUUACAUGACUCCAGGGGCAAGGAAGCGUGCAGGAAAGCUCAUCGCUGAAACCUCCCACCACCGUCACCCACUUUCCCCAAGAGUAUUCUUCAACGAGCCGAAGGCAGGAUGGCGGUGCAGGUUAUGACCAAAGAAUCCCACCACCUGAACAGUUCCCUGUGCUGUGGCCCUUAGAUAACCUGUCCCAUAGAGACUAACUAGACCAGGCUGACCACGAAACACCCCGUCUAGAAAGUAAACUGAAUGGACUCUACUCUCCACACCUCUCAUUUCCCUGAACAUAGAUUGAGUAUACCGAUACUGUAAAAGUGAAGGCAGGAACAGACCAUCUGCAACAGCAGACCCCCAACACAGCCUUAACUACCCAGAGAGAUUUGAACGCCAUGCCUCUCAUUCCGGCACUCCACAUGCUCUCAUUCGUCAAGGCGUAUGGAACAAUGCAGAACCUCAAGCAGAAUAGAAGAGCUUUCCUCUGUCCUCCACACAUCCUGAGAGAGGAUAUAUCCAAGAUCUUUCCUCUGUCCUCCACACAUCCUGAGAGAGGAUAUAUCCAAGAUCGGUUUGGUGUGUGUAACUGCGUUCAUUCAAA
Molecule: long non-coding RNA, 1233 nt
Organism: Esox lucius (northern pike)
Lineage: Eukaryota; Metazoa; Chordata; Actinopteri; Esociformes; Esocidae
Source: Ensembl